This 501-nucleotide ribosomal RNA is filed under the name uncultured bacterium. RNAcentral's name for it is "partial 16S ribosomal RNA". It matches the Rfam family "Bacterial small subunit ribosomal RNA", at positions 30 to 523 of the family's 1533-position model. The record is from RNAcentral.
AUUGAACGCUGGCGGCAGGCUUAACACAUGCAAGUCGAGCGGAGAUGAGGUGCUUGCACCUUAUCUUAGCGGCGGACGGGUGAGUAAUGCUUAGGAAUCUGCCUAUUAGUGGGGGACAACAUUCCGAAAGGAAUGCUAAUACCGCAUACGUCCUACGGGAGAAAGCAGGGGAUCUUCGGAACUUGCGCUAAUAGAUGAGCCUAAGUCGGAUUAGCUAGUUGGUGGGGUAAAGGCCUACCAAGGCGACGAUCUGUAGCGGGUCUGAGAGGAUGAUCCGCCACACUGGGACUGAGACACGGCCCAGACUCCUACGGGAGGCAGCAGUGGGGAAUAUUGGACAAUGGGGGGAACCCUGAUCCAGCCAUGCCGCGUGUGUGAAGAAGGCCUUAUGGUUGUAAAGCACUUUAAGCGAGGAGGAGGCUACUGAGACUAAUACUCUUGGAUAGUGGACGUUACUCGCAGAAUAAGCACCGGCUAACUCUGUGCCAGCAGCCGCAGUAA